Molecule: ribosomal RNA, 460 nt
Filed under: uncultured bacterium
Lineage: Bacteria
Description: partial 16S ribosomal RNA
Rfam family: Bacterial small subunit ribosomal RNA
Source: RNAcentral
CCUACGGGAGGCAGCAGUGAGGAAUAUUGGUCAAUGGCCGCAGGGCUGAACCAGCCAAGUCGCGUGAGGGAUGACGGUCCUAUGGAUUGUACACCUCUUUUGUCAGGGAGCAAAGGGCGCCACGUGUGGCGCUUUGCGAGUACCUGAAGAAAACGCAUCGGCUAACUCCGUGCCAGCAGCCGCGGUAAUACGGAGGAUGCGAGCGUUAUCCGGAUUUAUUGGGUUUAAAGGGAGCGUAGAUGGGUUGGUAAGUCAUUUGUGAAAGUUUGCGGCUCAACCGUAAAAUUGCAAUUGAUACUGGCAGUCUUGAGUACAGUUGAGGUAGGCGGAAUUCGUGGUGUAGCGGUGAAAUGCUUAGAUAUCACGAAGAACCCCGAUUGCGAAGGCAGCUUACUAAACUGUGACUGACAUUGAUGCUCGAAAGUGUGGGUAUCAAACAGGAUUAGAUACCCUAGUAGUC